RNAcentral lists this ribosomal RNA (301 nucleotides) under uncultured bacterium. RNAcentral describes it as "partial 16S ribosomal RNA". It matches the Rfam family "Bacterial small subunit ribosomal RNA", at positions 509 to 807 of the family's 1533-position model. The record is from RNAcentral.
CAGUAGCCGCGGGAAAACAGAGGGUGCGAGCGUUAAUCGGAUUUACUGGGCGUAAAGCGUGCGUAGGCGGCUUCUUAAGUCGGAUGUGAAAUCCCUGAGCUUAACUUAGGAAUUGCAUUUGAUACUGGGAAGCUAGAGUAUGGGAGAGGAUGGUAGAAUUCCAGGUGUAGCGGUGAAAUGCGUAGAGAUCUGGAGGAAUACCGAUGGCGAAGGCAGCCAUCUGGCCUAAUACUGACGCUGAGGUACGAAAGCAUGGGGAGCAAACAGGAUUAGAUACCCGUGUAGUCCCUGUCUCUUAUAC